Molecule: small nuclear RNA, 116 nt
Organism: Tripterygium wilfordii
Lineage: Eukaryota; Viridiplantae; Streptophyta; Magnoliopsida; Celastrales; Celastraceae
Product: U5 spliceosomal RNA
Exons: 1
Source: RefSeq, a predicted model, not a curated record
AGCCGUGCGAUGCACACAAAGUGAACUAUUCUUUCGCCUUUUACUAAAGAAUACCGUGUGUGCUUCGCAAAUAACGGUAUACGUCAUUUUUUGGAGGGUACACUCAAUAUGGGUUG